UACAGAGGUCUCAACCGUUGUUCGGAUUCAUUGGGCGUAAAGGGUGCGUAGGCGGCGGGGUAAGUCAGGUAUGAAAUCUCGGGGCUCAACCCCGAAACUGCACUUGAUACUGCCUCGCUUGAGUACUGGAGAGGAGACUGGAAUUUACGGUGUAGCAGUGAAAUGCGUAGAUAUCGUAAGGAAGACCAGUGGCGAAGGCGAGUCUCUGGACAGUUACUGACGCUGAGGCACGAAGGCCAGGGGAGCAAACGGG
RNAcentral lists this ribosomal RNA (253 nucleotides) under uncultured bacterium. RNAcentral describes it as "partial 16S ribosomal RNA". It matches the Rfam family "Bacterial small subunit ribosomal RNA", at positions 524 to 776 of the family's 1533-position model. The record is from RNAcentral.